This 497-nucleotide ribosomal RNA is filed under the name uncultured bacterium. Its description in RNAcentral is "partial 16S ribosomal RNA". It matches the Rfam family "Bacterial small subunit ribosomal RNA", at positions 28 to 507 of the family's 1533-position model. The record is from RNAcentral.
GAUGAACGCUGGCGGCGUGCCUAAUACAUGCAAGUCGAGCGAACAGACGAGAAGCUUGCUCCUCUGACGUUAGCGGCGGACGGGUGAGUAACACGUGGAUAACCUACCUAUAAGACUGGGAUAACUUCGGGAAACCGGAGCUAAUACCGGAUGAUAUAUUGAACCGCAUGGUUCAAUAGUGAAAGACGGUUUUGCUGUCACUUAUAGAUGGAUCCGCGCUGCAUUAGCUAGUUGGUAAGGUAACGGCUUACCAAGGCGACGAUGCGUAGCCGACCUGAGAGGGUGAUCGGCCACACUGGAACUGAGACACGGUCCAGACUCCUACGGGAGGCAGCAGUAGGGAAUCUUCCGCAAUGGGCGAAAGCCUGACGGAGCAACGCCGCGUGAGUGAUGAAGGUCUUCGGAUCGUAAAACUCUGUUAUUAGGGAAGAACAAAUGUGUAAGUAACUAUGCACGUCUUGACGGUACCUAAUCAGAAAGCCACGGCUAACUACGUG